UAGGGGGCAAGCGUUAUCCGGAUUUACUGGGUGUAAAGGGAGCGUAGGCGGCGAUGCAAGUCAGAAGUGAAAGCCCGUAGCUCAACUACGGGACUGCUUUUGAAACUGUAUUGCUAGAUUGCAGGAGAGGUAAGUGGAAUUCCUAGUGUAGCGGUGAAAUGCGUAGAUAUUAGGAGGAACACCAGUGGCGAAGGCGGCUUACUGGACUGUAAAUGACGCUGAGGCUCGAAAGCGUGGGGAGCAAA
RNAcentral lists this ribosomal RNA (245 nucleotides) under uncultured bacterium. RNAcentral describes it as "partial 16S ribosomal RNA". It matches the Rfam family "Bacterial small subunit ribosomal RNA", at positions 528 to 772 of the family's 1533-position model. The record is from RNAcentral.